AUGAACGCUGGCGGCGUGCCUAAUACAUGCAAGUCGAACGGGGAGUAGCAAUACUCUUAGUGGCGAACGGGUGAGUAACGCGUUGGUACCUGCCCCGAAGCGGGGGAUAACGGACCGAAAGGUCCGCUAAUACCCCAUGUGCUCGGUAACGAGUAAAGGUGAAAACCACUUUGGGAGGGGCCUGCGUCCCAUCAGCUAGUUGGUAAGGUAACGGCUUACCAAGGCGAUGACGGGUAGGGGACCUGAGAGGGUGGCCCCCCACAAUGGAACUGAAACACGGUCCAUACACCUACGGGUGGCAGCAGUAGGGAAUAUUGGUAAUGGGCGCAAGCCUGAACCAGCAACGCCGCGUGUGCGAUGACGGCCUUCGGGGUGUAAAGCACUUUUGACUGGGACGAGGAAGGACGGUACCGGUCGAAUCAGCCUCGGCUAACUACGUG
This 440-nucleotide ribosomal RNA is filed under the name uncultured bacterium. RNAcentral describes it as "partial 16S ribosomal RNA". It matches the Rfam family "Bacterial small subunit ribosomal RNA", at positions 29 to 507 of the family's 1533-position model. The record is from RNAcentral.